Molecule: small RNA, 85 nt
Filed under: Escherichia coli
Lineage: Bacteria; Pseudomonadati; Pseudomonadota; Gammaproteobacteria; Enterobacterales; Enterobacteriaceae
Also listed under: 1 other name
Description: partial RtT sRNA
Rfam family: RtT RNA
About the family: This family represents a bacterial cis-regulatory element known as RtT RNA. The exact function of RtT is unknown although it is thought that it may be involved in changing the cellular response in relation to amino acid starvation.
Source: RNAcentral
GUUUGCACUCAUCGGGGAAGGGUGAGAACCUUCGACUAAGGUUCGAUUCGAGCGAAAGCGAGAGAACGUUGCCACAGGCAACGGC